AGGACGAACGCUGGCGGCGUGCUUAACACAUGCAAGUCGAGCGGAAAGGCCCUUCGGGGUACUCGAGCGGCGAACUGGUGAGUAACACGUGAGCAACCUGCCCUUAGCUCCGGGAUAGCUCCGGGAAACCGGAAUUAAUACCGGAUACGACCACGGCCGACAUCUGCUGUGGUGGAAAGGAUUCCGGCUAAGGAUGGGCUCGCGGCCUAUCAGCUAGUUGGUGGGGUAAUGGCCCACCAAGGCGACGACGGGUAGCCGGCCUGAGAGGGCGACCGGCCACACUGGGACUGAGACACGGCCCAGACUCCUACGGGAGGCAGCAGUGGGGAAUAUUGCGCAAUGGGCGAAAGCCUGACGCAGCGACGCCGCGUGGUGGAUGAAGGCCUUCGGGUUGUAAACCCCUUUCAGCAGGGACGAAGCGAAAGUGACGGUACCUGCAGAAGAAGCGCCGGCUAACUACGCGCCAGCAGCCGC
Molecule: ribosomal RNA, 474 nt
Filed under: uncultured bacterium
Lineage: Bacteria
Description: SSU rRNA
Rfam family: Bacterial small subunit ribosomal RNA
Source: RNAcentral